AUUCCGGUUGAUCCUGCCGGAGGACAUUGCUAUUGGGAUUCGAUUUAGCCAUGCUAGUCGAGCGAGUUUAGACUCGCGGCGAAUAGCUCAGUAACACGUGGCCAAGCUCCCCUUCAGUCAGCGAUACCCUCGGGAAACUGAGGUUAACAGCUGAUACAAAACGCCAGCUGGAAUGCGGCGUUUCAGAAAGACAUCGCUGAAGGAUGCGGCUGCGGCCGAUUAGGUAGACGGUGGGGUAACGGCCCACCGUGCCAGUAAUCGGUACGGGUGAUGAGAGUCAGAGCCCGGAGACGGAAUCUGAGACAAGAUUCCGGGCCCUACGGGGCGCAGCAGGCGCGAAACCUUUACACUGCACGGAAGUGCGAUAGGGGAAUCCCAAGUGCGAGGGCAUAUUAGCCCUCGCUUUUCUCGACUGUAAGGUGGUCGACGAAUAA
RNAcentral lists this ribosomal RNA (434 nucleotides) under uncultured haloarchaeon. RNAcentral describes it as "bacterial SSU rRNA". It matches the Rfam family "Archaeal small subunit ribosomal RNA", at positions 1 to 438 of the family's 1478-position model. Lineage: Archaea; Methanobacteriati; Methanobacteriota; Halobacteria; Halobacteriales; Halobacteriaceae. The record is from RNAcentral.